RNAcentral lists this ribosomal RNA (776 nucleotides) under uncultured Neocallimastigales. Its description in RNAcentral is "partial large subunit ribosomal RNA". It matches the Rfam family "Eukaryotic large subunit ribosomal RNA", at positions 19 to 646 of the family's 3401-position model. The record is from RNAcentral. Lineage: Eukaryota; Fungi; Neocallimastigomycota; Neocallimastigomycetes; Neocallimastigales.
CGAGCACGCGCGUGUGGCAUAUCAAUAAGCGGAGGAAAAGAAACUAACAAGGAUUCCCUUAGUAACGGCGAGUGAAGCGGGAAGAGCUCAAAUUUGAAAUCUUCAAGGUUCUACCUUGACGAAUUGUAGUUUAUAGAAGUGUUUUCUGUUAGUGGAGUGGCAAAAGUUCUUUGGAAUAGGACAUCAUAGAGGGUGAGAAUCCCGUAUUUGGUCAUUCCUCCUAGCGUUGUGAUACACUUUCAACGAGUCGGAUUGUUUGGGAAUGCAGUCCAAAAUGGGUGGUAAAUUUCAUCUAAAGCUAAAUAUUGGCGAGAGACCGAUAGCGAACGAGUACCGUGAGGGAAAGAUGAAAAGAACUUUGAAAAGAGAGUUAAACAGUACGUGAAAUUGUCAAAAGGGAAGCGUUUGACACCAGUGUUGUUUUUCCGAAAAUCAAUUACGAAUGUUUUGUUUUUGAGGAGUUAUGACUUCAUCGGCUUGCUCCUUUCUUUACUGAAACUUUCUUAAUGCACUUUUCGGUUAACAAGUCAACAUCAAUUUCUUUUGUUGUAAAAGGGUAUGAGGAAGGUGGCUUUCUUUUCGGAGAAAGUGUUUAUAGCCUUGUGCCUCUGCAAUCGGAGAGAUUGAGGUCUGCAGCGUAGAUCCUUCGGGGUUAGAUACGUUUGUGCUAAGUUAUAGCUUUUCAUAGACAACUUGUUGACUAUGUUUAGUCUUGUAGCUUACUCGCUUACUGCUAUUUUACCUACGCUUAGGAUGUUGAUGUGAUACUGCGAGCA